AUGGUGAGGGGUAAGAUUGUGAUUAGGAGGAUUGAGGACAUGAGCAGCAGGCAGGUCACAUUCUCCAAGCGGCGGCAUGGGCUGCUGAAGAAGACACGUGAGCUGGCCAUCCUCUGCAAUGUCCAGGUCGGCGUCAUCAUCUUCUCCCUUACUGGUCGCAUCUACGCAUAUGCCAGCUCCACCACCACCACCACCACCACCACCCCACUACCACCAUGGGCAUGCCUUCCAUCAUCCAUAAGUACCAAUCUGCACAGGAGCACCAGCAUCAACUACUGA
This 279-nucleotide ribosomal RNA is filed under the name Triticum aestivum (bread wheat). Its description in RNAcentral is "partial small subunit ribosomal RNA". The record is from RNAcentral. Lineage: Eukaryota; Viridiplantae; Streptophyta; Magnoliopsida; Poales; Poaceae.